AGAGUUUGAUCCUGGCUCAGGAUGAACGCUAGCUACAGGCUUAACACAUGCAAGUCGAGGGGCAGCAUCAUCAAAGCUUGCUUUGAUGGAUGGCGACCGGCGCACGGGUGAGUAACACGUAUCCAACCUGCCGACAACACUGGGAUAGCCUUUCGAAAGAAAGAUUAAUACCGGAUGGCAUAGUUUUCCCGCAUGGGAUAAUUAUUAAAGAAUUUCGGUUGUCGAUGGGGAUGCGUUCCAUUAGGCAGUUGGCGGGGUAACGGCCCACCAAACCUACGAUGGAUAGGGGUUCUGAGAGGAAGGUCCCCCACAUUGGAACUGAGACACGGUCCAAACUCCUACGGGAGGCAGCAGUGAGGAAUAUUGGUCAAUGGACGAGAGUCUGAACCAGCCAAGUAGCGUGAAGGAUGACUGCCCUAUGGGUUGUAAACUUCUUUUAUACGGGAAUAAAGUGAGCCACGUGUGGCUUUUUGUAUGUACCGUAUGAAUAAGGAUCGGCUAACUCCGUGCCAGCAGCCGCGGUAAUACGGAGGAUCCGAGCGUUAUCCGGAUUUAUUGGGUUUAAAGGGAGCGUAGGCGGGUUGUUAAGUCAGUUGUGAAAGUUUGCGGCUCAACCGUAAAAUUGCAGUUGAUACUGGCGACCUUGAGUGCAACAGAGGUAGGCGGAAUUCGUGGUGUAGCGGUGAAAUGCUUAGAUAUCACGAAGAACUCCGAUUGCGAAGGCAGCUUACUGGAUUGUAACUGACGCUGAUGCUCGAAAGUGUGGGUAUCAAACAGGAUUAGAUACCCUGGUAGUCCACACAGUAAACGAUGAAUACUCGCUGUUGGCGAUAUACAGUCAGCGGCCAAGCGAAAGCAUUAAGUAUUCCACCUGGGGAGUACGCCGGCAACGGUGAAACUCAAAGGAAUUGACGGGGGCCCGCACAAGCGGAGGAACAUGUGGUUUAAUUCGAUGAUACGCGAGGAACCUUACCCGGGCUUAAAUUGCAACUGACGGAACCGGAAACGGUUCUUUCUUCGGACAGUUGUGAAGGUGCUGCAUGGUUGUCGUCAGCUCGUGCCGUGAGGUGUCGGCUUAAGUGCCAUAACGAGCGCAACCCUUAUCGAUAGUUACUAGCAGGUCAUGCUGAGGACUCUAUCGAGACUGCCGUCGUAAGAUGUGAGGAAGGUGGGGAUGACGUCAAAUCAGCACGGCCCUUACGUCCGGGGCUACACACGUGUUACAAUGGGGGGUACAGAAGGCAGCUACACGGCGACGUGGUGCUAAUCCCAAAAGCCUCUCUCAGUUCGGAUUGGAGUCUGCAACCCGACUCCAUGAAGCUGGAAUCGCUAGUAAUCGCAGGUCAGCAUACUGCGGUGAAUACGUUCCCGGGUCUUGCACACACCGCCCGUCA
RNAcentral lists this ribosomal RNA (1394 nucleotides) under uncultured bacterium. Its description in RNAcentral is "16S ribosomal RNA". It matches the Rfam family "Bacterial small subunit ribosomal RNA". The record is from RNAcentral.